This 520-nucleotide ribosomal RNA is filed under the name uncultured Glomus. RNAcentral describes it as "SSU rRNA". It matches the Rfam family "Eukaryotic small subunit ribosomal RNA", at positions 569 to 1092 of the family's 1831-position model. The record is from RNAcentral. Lineage: Eukaryota; Fungi; Glomeromycota; Glomeromycetes; Glomerales; Glomeraceae.
AGCGGCCGCGGUAAUUCCAGCUCCAAUAGCGUAUAUUAAAGUUGUUGCAGUUAAAAAGCUCGUAGUUGAAUUUCGGGAUCAGACUGUCGGUCGUGCCUCGGUACGCACUGGCAUUAUUGGUUCCUACCUUCUGAAGAACCGCGAUGUCAUUAAUUUGGUGUCGUGGGGAAUCAGGACUGUUACUUUGAAAAAAUUAGAGUGUUUAAAGCAGGCGCACGCUUGAAUACAUUAGCAUGGAAUAAUGAAAUAGGACGUUUGAUUCUAUUUUGUUGGUUUCUAGGAUCGACGUAAUGAUUAAUAGGGAUAGUUGGGGGCAUUAGUAUUCAAUUGUCAGAGGUGAAAUUCUUGGAUUUAUUGAAGACUAACUACUGCGAAAGCAUUUGCCAAGGAUGUUUUCAUUAAUCAAGAACGAAAGUUAGGGGAUCGAAGACGAUCAGAUACCGUCGUAGUCUUAACCAUAAACUAUGCCGACUAGGGAUCGGAUGAUGUUAAUUUUUAAUGACUCAUUCGGCGCCUUAAC